This 440-nucleotide ribosomal RNA is filed under the name uncultured bacterium. Its description in RNAcentral is "bacterial SSU rRNA". It matches the Rfam family "Bacterial small subunit ribosomal RNA", at positions 28 to 507 of the family's 1533-position model. The record is from RNAcentral.
GACGAACGCUGGCGGCGUGCCUAAUGCAUGCAAGUCGAACGCACUGCCUUCGGGCAGUGAGUGGCGCACGGCUGAGGAACACGUGGGAAUCUGCCCGACCGUGGGGGAUAACACGCCGAAAGGCGUGCUAAGCCCGCAUACGCUCGCAAGAGGAAAGCGGUAACGCGCGGUCGGAGGAGCCUGCGGCCCAUCAGGUAGUCGGCGGGGUAACGGCCCACCGAGCCGGUGACGGGUAGCUGGUCUGUGAGGACAGACAGCCAGACUGGGACUGAGACACGGCCCAGACUCCUACGGGAGGCAGCAGCAAGGAAUUUUCGGCAAUGGGCGCAAGCCUGACCGAGCAACGCCGCGUGGAGGAUGAAGGUUUUUGGAUUGUAAACUCCUUUUGUGGGGGAAGAGUGAGGACGGUACCCCAAGAAUAAGUCACGGCUAACUACGUG